AAACCAGCACCUCAAGUGGUCAGGAUGAUUAUUGGGCCUAAAGCAUCCGUAGCCUGCUCUGUAAGUUUUCGGUUAAAUCUGUACGCUUAACGUACAGGCUGCCGGAAAUACUGCAGAGCUAGGGAGUGGGAGAGGUAGACGGUACUCGGGAGGAAGUGGUAAAAUGCUUUGAUCUCUCGAUGACCACCUGUGGCGAAGGCGGUCUACCAGAACACGUCCGACGGUGAGGGAUGAAAGCUGGGGGAGCAAACCGGAUUAGAAACCCGAGUAGUCC
This 274-nucleotide ribosomal RNA is filed under the name uncultured bacterium. Its description in RNAcentral is "partial 16S ribosomal RNA". It matches the Rfam family "Archaeal small subunit ribosomal RNA", at positions 473 to 747 of the family's 1478-position model. The record is from RNAcentral.